UGUGUAGGCGGUUCUUUAAGUUUGGUGUGAAAUCUCCCGGCUCAACCGGGAGGGUGCGCCGAAAACUGGGGGACUCGAGUGCGGGAUGGGAGAGUAGAAUUCCUGGUGUAGCGGUGAAAUGCGUAGAUAUCAGGAGGAAUACCGGUGGUGUAGACGGCUCUCUGGACCGCCACUGACGCUGAGACACGAAAGCGUGGGUAGCAAACAGGAUUAGAUACCCUGGUAGUCCACGCCCUAAACGAUGCAUAUUUGGUGUAGGUCAUUCAGUUGAUCUGUGCCGGAGCUAACGCGUUAAAUAUGCCGCCUGGGGAGUACAGUCGCAAGGCUGAA
Molecule: ribosomal RNA, 330 nt
Filed under: uncultured bacterium
Lineage: Bacteria
Description: bacterial SSU rRNA
Rfam family: Bacterial small subunit ribosomal RNA
Source: RNAcentral